This 276-nucleotide unclassified non-coding RNA is filed under the name Glomus sp. RNAcentral's name for it is "partial contains 5.8S ribosomal RNA and internal transcribed spacer 2". The stretch from base 1 to 65 matches the Rfam family "5.8S ribosomal RNA", at positions 84 to 154 of the family's 154-position model. The record is from RNAcentral. Lineage: Eukaryota; Fungi; Glomeromycota; Glomeromycetes; Glomerales; Glomeraceae.
GUGAAUCAUCGAAUUUUUGAACGCAAAUUGCACACUCUUCGGAGAGUAUGCCUGUUUGAGGGUCAGCCUAAAAAAAAAUCGACAUAGUCGCUGUUUCGCGGUGAUAUGCGUCGGAACUUGGGUCUUCUUAAACCUUUGGGUUUUAAGCGGCUUACAAUUUUCUUUUCGAUUCCACGAACGUUUCUAAGUUUUUCUUCUUAUACUUUUAAGGUAUCGUUCUUUAUUAGACGUGGCCGUUUCUUCGUAUCUCGUCCCUAAAUCUUUCGUUAACUCACC